AAAAAGAGAAAUAAAUUGGGUCAGACACAGUGCCCGCACAUGCAGCACAAUUUUUUUAUCUCUGCAAAUGGCAGAAAUUUGGAGGGCUAAUUGAACUUUUCCACAUUCUGUCAGGGUAGAAUACCGCAAGCUGUUGUUUUAAAUGAUAGACCGACACAAAGCAAAAGCAAUUUAUGGCAUGGGUUUUUAUUUAGCUGCCCUGGGUCAAAACUUGAGUCGCCGCAAUUACAACUUUAAGACGUUUGGGGUAUGUUUCUACCAGCUUUACAAAACCUAGAGACUACAUUUUUUUGCACCCUAUUAGUUGCAAAUUAGCUCAAGGUUAGCCCAAGUGGAUGAAAAACAUCAAAUUCACAGCUGGACUUUGACUAGUCCAUUCUAACACAGGAAUUUGGCUUGAUCUAAACCACUAUUUCUCUGGCACUGUGUGUUUAGGGCAGUUGUCCUGUUAGAAGGUGAACCUCCACCCCAGUAUUAAGUCUCUUGGGAUGGUGUGUUCAGGGUGAUGGCCAGCGUUACUUUUCCCUCCCAUGCAUAGCGUUUUGCAUGCAUGCCAGAAAGCGAGAAUUUGGUCUCAUUUGACAAAGGGAUCAUUCUUCCACGCCUGCUAUGUCCCCUACAUGGCCUGGGGCUAAUUGCAAACAAGAUUUCUUAUGGUUUGCUUUCAACAUUUGGUUUCUUCUUGCAAUCCUCUUGAGGCCAGAUUUGUGAAGUCUGCAACUAUUUGUGGUGCUGAUCCACAAUUCAUCUGGUCUGUGGAUAUCGCCGAGUUCUGCAGGAGUAACCAUGCGACUCUGGGCUGUUUCUCUGAUUAAUGCUCUCCCUGCACGGCCUGACCGUUUAGGUGGACGGCCAUGUCUCGGAUGGUUUGCAAUUGUGCCAUACUCUUGGAUUUUUAGAUGAUCGAUUAAACAGCGCUCUGUCAAAUGAUUUUGUGAUCUAAACCCGCCCUAAACAUUUCCACAACUUUAUCCCUGAGCUGUCUGCUGUGGCUCUCACCAUGCUACUGUUUAACACUAUUACA
Molecule: long non-coding RNA, 1024 nt
Organism: Fundulus heteroclitus (mummichog)
Lineage: Eukaryota; Metazoa; Chordata; Actinopteri; Cyprinodontiformes; Fundulidae
Exons: 2
Source: RefSeq, a predicted model, not a curated record